This is a long non-coding RNA of Mauremys reevesii (Reeves's turtle), 1218 nucleotides long. RefSeq lists it as uncharacterized. The transcript has 3 exons. Lineage: Eukaryota; Metazoa; Chordata; Testudines; Geoemydidae. The record is from RefSeq and is a predicted model, not a curated record.
CAUGUCUCUUUAGUAGAGGAAGCCUUAAGAUAGAGGUUAAUCAGCCAAGUAACAGUUAAGGAAGAAUGCUACAGGAGCAGGUAGGGAAAACUUUGAGGUAGAGCUAAUGAGGGAACAGCUAUUAGUUUGAAGAUAUUUGGAUUCUCAUAUGCACUGGUUUGUCCUAUCCUGGAAGGGGUUUAGAUGUUUGUGAUCUGACCAGAGGGCUGAGCUAUAGGAGAUGAAGACUCAGAAAGAUGUAUUGUAAGCCCUGAGGGACAACCCAAUAGGGAGGUGCCAGAAAUGAAGAUCCCUAUAAUGAUGCCCUCAGAUGGGAGAGGGUACACUACAGGUACCGUUUUACAUCCUGUGUUCUGGAAGAGUCCGACUUUGAGCACUGAAAGUAGAGAUGACUUUUGUCAGUGGGAGCAGGAUUGAGACCCAAAUAUUAAGCUUGUACCCCAAAUCCUGUGAGCAACUCUGUUUUCUUGGUAUUUCUAGCUCAGUCAGCAGCAGGAAGAACCCCAAACUUCUCAGGAUGGUAGAGAGCUAGAUGGAAAACUUCAAAGUUUUGAUGCAGAAUGGAAACAAGAUUUUCUUGAUAUUUUUGAUGUCAAAUCCUCUCCCUCUUUCAACGAGCUUUCCCACACAAACCUAUUCUUGGAAGAUUUCCAGUACAAUACUGCACACUCAAGUGUUUUAGAGAAUCUAAACUUUAGAUACUUCAGUUGCAGGAAUACAAUACAAUUGAGCUCAAUGCAGGAGAAACUGGAUGAAAUUCUAUGCCCUGUGAUAUGCAGGACAUCACACUAAAAGAUCUUCUGGUGUUAAAGUCUAUGAAGAAGCAGCCAAAUUUGUAGUCAAACCUACAGAUAGUUUCAAAAUUUGCUCAUAAUUAGCUCUGAAGCCCUUAAAAAUAAGGCUUAGCCCAGCAUUACUGACAGACUUGUAAGUACAUCAGCAUUGUUAGGCUUAGCUAUAAAUUCAUCACAGCGAGAACAGUCUCCAUAUAAUACAUUAUUUAAUGUCAUCAGUUAAUUUAUCUGUUUACUGAGUCCAAAGAGCCUGACUAAUGUAGUGAAAUAUAUUUCACUAGUUGACCAUAGUUCUGUGUAUCUAAAAAUAAAGCUUAAUGGGUUUUGCUGAUAGAUGGUCUUGGACUUCAUUAUAAUGAUUGCCGUGGAGCUACAGUAGCAUUCUCCUUCUGAUAGUAAAAAGUUUACUGAGCUCAAAAUUACU